UAAUACGAAGGUGGCAAGCGUUGUUCGGAAUAACUGGGCUUAAAGAGCACGUAGGCGGCUGGUCUAGCAUCUUGUGAAAUCCCUCGGCUCAACCGAGGAAUUGCGAGGUGGACUGGCCGGCUUGAGCUGCAGAUGGGUGACUGGAACUCUAGGUGGAGUGGUGAAAUGCGUAGAUAUCUAGAGGAACGCCGGUGGUGAAAACGGGUCACUGGCUGCAUGCUGACGCUGAGGUGCGAAAGCGUGGGGAGCGAACGGGAUUAGAUACCCCGGUAGUCCACGCCGUAAACGAUGGGUACUAGGUUCGGGGGAGUUUGACCUCUUCCGGGCCGAAGCAAAAGUACUAAGUACCCCGCCUGGGGAGUACGGUCGCAAGGCUA
RNAcentral lists this ribosomal RNA (377 nucleotides) under uncultured bacterium. Its description in RNAcentral is "bacterial SSU rRNA". It matches the Rfam family "Bacterial small subunit ribosomal RNA", at positions 521 to 896 of the family's 1533-position model. The record is from RNAcentral.